This 495-nucleotide ribosomal RNA is filed under the name Veillonella sp. oral clone 4RH-12. RNAcentral describes it as "bacterial SSU rRNA". It matches the Rfam family "Bacterial small subunit ribosomal RNA", at positions 56 to 521 of the family's 1533-position model. Lineage: Bacteria; Bacillati; Bacillota; Negativicutes; Veillonellales; Veillonellaceae. The record is from RNAcentral.
UGCAAGUCGAACGAAGAGCGAUGGAAGCUUGCUUCUAUCAAUCUUAGUGGCGAACGGGUGAGUAACGCGUAAUCAACCUGCCCUUCAGAGGGGGACAACAGUUGGAAACGACUGCUAAUACCGCAUACGAUCUAACCUCGGCAUCGAGGAAAGAUGAAAGGUGGCCUCUAUGUAUAAGCUAUCACUGAAGGAGGGGAUUGCGUCUGAUUAGCUAGUUGGAGGGGUAACGGCCCACCAAGGCGAUGAUCAGUAGCCGGUCUGAGAGGAUGAUCAGUCACACUGGAACUGAGACACGGUCCAGACUCCUACGGGAGGCAGCAGUGGGGAAUAUUGGACAAUGGGCGAAAGCCUGAUCCAGCCAUGCCGCGUGUGUGAAGAAGGUCUUCGGAUUGUAAAGCACUUUAAGUUGGGAGGAAGGGCAGUAAGUUAAUACCUUGCUGUUUUGACGUUACCAACAGAAUAAGCACCGGCUAACUUCGNGCCAGCAGCCGCGGU